RNAcentral lists this transfer RNA (63 nucleotides) under Macropsis ocellata. RNAcentral's name for it is "tRNA-His". RNAcentral also lists the same sequence under 1 other name. The record is from RNAcentral. Lineage: Eukaryota; Metazoa; Arthropoda; Insecta; Hemiptera; Cicadellidae.
AAUUUAAGUAGUUUAAUUAAAAUAUAGAUUUGUGGAUUCUAAGAUGUGUGUAACCUUAAAUUU